ACACCUCACCUCCAACUCCCAGACAGCGGACGGGAGAGAGUCAGACGGCAGGCACAGAGUCGGAAACAGGCUCCGCACGACGGGCACGGAGCCUUAUGUGGG
Molecule: long non-coding RNA, 102 nt
Organism: Lynx canadensis (Canada lynx)
Lineage: Eukaryota; Metazoa; Chordata; Mammalia; Carnivora; Felidae
Exons: 3
Source: RefSeq, a predicted model, not a curated record